This 450-nucleotide ribosomal RNA is filed under the name uncultured bacterium. Its description in RNAcentral is "partial 16S ribosomal RNA". It matches the Rfam family "Bacterial small subunit ribosomal RNA", at positions 354 to 796 of the family's 1533-position model. The record is from RNAcentral.
GUGGGGAAUCUUAGACAAUGGGGGCAACCCUGAUCUAGCCAUGCCGCGUGAUCGAUGAAGGCCUUCGGGUUGUAAAGCACUUUUGGCAGGAAAGAAAUAGUGCGUGCUAAUACCAUGCGCGAAUGACGGUACCUGCAGAAUAAGCACCGGCUAACUACGUGCCAGCAGCCGCGGUAAGACGUAGGGUGCAAGCGUUAAUCGGAAUUACUGGGCGUAAAGCGUGCGCAGGCGGUUUUGUAAGACAGGUGUGAAAUCCCCGGGCUCAACCUGGGAACUGCACUUGUGACUGCAAGGCUAGAGUGUGUCAGAGGGAGGUGGAAUUCCGCGUGUAGCAGUGAAAUGCGUAGAGAUGCGGAGGAACACCGAUGGCGAAGGCAGCCUCCUGGGAUAACACUGACGCUCAGGCACGAAAGCGUGGGGAGCAAACAGGAUUAGAUACCCCAGUAGUCC